Molecule: small nuclear RNA, 167 nt
Filed under: Echinops telfairi (small Madagascar hedgehog)
Lineage: Eukaryota; Metazoa; Chordata; Mammalia; Afrosoricida; Tenrecidae
Description: U1 spliceosomal RNA (ENSETEG00000022018.1)
Rfam family: U1 spliceosomal RNA
About the family: U1 is a small nuclear RNA (snRNA) component of the spliceosome (involved in pre-mRNA splicing). Its 5' end forms complementary base pairs with the 5' splice junction, thus defining the 5' donor site of an intron.
Source: RNAcentral
AUACUUACCUGGCUGGGGAGACACCAUGAUCACGAAGGUGGUUUUCCCAGGGCGGAGGCCUUAUCCAUUGCACUCCGGAUCUACUGACCUCUGCAAUUUCCCCAAAUGUGGGAAACUUGACUGCAUAAUUUGUGGUAGUGGGGGGACUGUGUUCACGCUCUCCCCUA